Molecule: ribosomal RNA, 1299 nt
Filed under: metagenome
Description: bacterial SSU rRNA
Rfam family: Bacterial small subunit ribosomal RNA
Source: RNAcentral
GAGUUUGAUCCUGGCUCAGAUUGAACGCUGGCGGCAUGCCUUACACAUGCAAGUCGAACGGUAACAGGGAGCUUGCUCCGCUGACGAGUGGCGAACGGGUGAGUAAUACAUCGGAACGUACCAUUCAGUGGGGGAUAACGUAGCGAAAGUUACGCUAAUACCGCAUAUUCUCUCCGGAGGAAAGCAGGGGAUCGCAAGACCUUGCGCUGAUUGAGCGGCCGAUAUCAGAUUAGCUAGUUGGUGAGGUAAAAGCUCACCAAGGCAACGAUCUGUAGCGGGUCUGAGAGGAUGAUCCACCACACUGGAACUGAGACACGGUCCAGACUCCUACGGGAGGCAGCAGUGGGGAAUUUUGGACAAUGGGGGCAACCCUGAUCCAGCCAUGCCGCGUGAGUGAAGAAGGCCUUCGGGUUGUAAAGCUCUUUCAGCCGGGAAGAAAACGCAUGGGUUAAUACCCUGUGUGGAUGACGGUACCGGAAUAAGAAGCACCGGCUAACUACGUGCCAGCAGCCGCGGUAAUACGUAGGGUGCGAGCGUUAAUCGGAAUUACUGGGCGUAAAGCGUGCGCAGGCGGUUUGGUAAGACAGGCGUGAAAUCCCCGGGCCUAACCUGGGAACUGCGUUUGUGACUGCCAGGCUAGAGUACGGCAGAGGGGGGUGGAAUUCCACGUGUAGCAGUGAAAUGCGUAGAGAUGUGGAGGAACACCAAUGGCGAAGGCAGCCCCCUGGGUCGAUACUGACGCUCAUGCACGAAAGCGUGGGUAGCAAACAGGAUUAGAUACCCUGGUAGUCCACGCCCUAAACGAUGUCAACUAGGUGUUGGGAGGGUAAAACCUUUUAGUACCGUAGCUAACGCGAGAAGUUGACCGCCUGGGGAGUACGGCCGCAAGGUUAAAACUCAAAGGAAUUGACGGGGACCCGCACAAGCGGUGGAUGAUGUGGAUUAAUUCGAUGCAACGCGAAAAACCUUACCUACCCUUGACAUGUCAGGAACUUGCCAGAGAUGGCUUGGUGCCCGAAAGGGAACCUGAACACAGGUGCUGCAUGGCUGUCGUCAGCUCGUGUCGUGAGAUGUUGGGUUAAGUCCCGCAACGAGCGCAACCCUUGUCGUUAAUUGCCAUCAUUUAGUUGGGCACUUUAACGAGACUGCCGGUGACAAACCGGAGGAAGGUGGGGAUGACGUCAAGUCCUCAUGGCCCUUAUGGGUAGGGCUUCACACGUCAUACAAUGGUCGGUACAAAGGGUCGCCAACCCGCGAGGGGGAGCCAAUCCCAGAAAGCCGAUCGUAGUCCGGAUUGCG